RNAcentral lists this ribosomal RNA (685 nucleotides) under uncultured delta proteobacterium. Its description in RNAcentral is "bacterial SSU rRNA". It matches the Rfam family "Bacterial small subunit ribosomal RNA", at positions 57 to 717 of the family's 1533-position model. The record is from RNAcentral. Lineage: Bacteria; Deltaproteobacteria.
GCAAGUCGAACGAGAAUGUAGGCUUCGGUCUACUAGUAAAGUGGCAGACGGGUGCGUAACACGUGGGUAAUCUACCUUCCGGCGGGGGACAACAGUCCGAAAGGAUUGCUAAUACCGCAUACGUCGGCGGCGCCUACGGGCGCUGUUGGGAAAGACGGCCUCUCCUUGGAAGCUGUCACCGGAAGAUGAGCCCGCGCCCCAUCAGCUAGUUGGUGAGGUAAUGGCUCACCAAGGCUUAGACGGGUAGCUGGUCUGAGAGGAUGAUCAGCCACACUGGGACUGCGACACGGCCCAGACUCCUACGGGAGGCAGCAGUGGGGAAUAUUGGGCAAUGGGCGCAAGCCUGACCCAGCCACGCCGCGUGAGUGAUGAAGGCCUUCGGGUCGUAAAGCUCUGUGGGGAGGGACGAACAAAUCUGGGGCUAAUCACCCGGAUCCUGACGGUACCUCCUUAGCAAGCACCGGCUAUCCCUGUGCCAGCAGCCGCGGUAAUACAGGGGGUGCAAACGUUGCUCGGAAUCAUUGGGCGUAAAGCGCACGUAGGCGGUCUGUUAUGUCGGAUGUGAAAGCCCUUGGCUCAACUGAGGAAGUGCAUCCGAAACUGGCAGGCUAGAGUACGAAAGAGGAUCGCGGAAUUCCCGGUGUAGAGGUGAAAUUCGUAGAUAUCGGGAGGAACACCGGUGGCG